GACCUGGUAGUCCACGCUGUAAACGAUGUCGACUUGGAGGUUGUUCCCUUGAGGAGUGGCUUCCGGAGCUAACGCGUUAAGUCGACCGCCUGGGGAGUACGGCCGCAAGGUUAAAACUCAAAUGAAUUGACGGGGGCCCGCACAAGCGGUGGAGCAUGUGGUUUAAUUCGAUGCAACGCGAAGAACCUUACCUACUCUUGACAUCCAGAGAAUUUAGCAGAGAUGCUUUGGUGCCUUCGGGAACCGUGAGACAGGUGCUGCAUGGCUGUCGUCAGCUCGUGUUGUGAAAUGUUGGGUUAAGUCCCGCAACGAGCGCAACCCUUAUCCUUUGUUGCCAGCGGUUCGGCCGGGAACUCAAAGGAGACUGCCAGUGAUAAACUGGAGGAAGGUGGGGAUGACGUCAAGUCAUCAUGGCCCUUACGAGUAGGGCUACACACGUGCUACAAUGGCAUAUACAAAGAGAAGCGACCUCGCGAGAGCAAGCGGACCUCAUAAAGUAUGUCGUAGUCCGGAUCGGAGUCUGCAACUCGACUCCGUGAAGUCGGAAUCGCUAGUAAUCGUGGAUCAGAAUGCCACGGUGAAUACGUUCCCGGGCCUUGUACACACCGCCCGUCACACCAUGGGAGUGGGUUGCAAAAGAAGUAGGUAGCUUAACCUU
This 658-nucleotide ribosomal RNA is filed under the name bacterium LB-43. RNAcentral's name for it is "bacterial SSU rRNA". It matches the Rfam family "Bacterial small subunit ribosomal RNA", at positions 784 to 1442 of the family's 1533-position model. The record is from RNAcentral.